This 176-nucleotide non-coding RNA is filed under the name unclassified sequences. The record is from Rfam.
UACAAUGCGUGUGCGGCUCUCCACCUUUCAGCCGUAUGCAGCUUAAAAAAGGAGGAAAAGGUAAGGCCCGUGGCUCGGGCUGCGGCAGUGUGGAGACCUGUCGCAAUGCGUGCGGCGAAAGCCCUCGCGAGCCUAUCCGCGCGGAGGCGGGAUAGGCAGAGCCGGAAAACAUGGCA